ACUCCUACGGGAGGCAGCAGUGGGGAAUCUUAGACAAUGGGCGCAAGCCUGAUCUAGCCAUGCCGCGUGAGUGACGAAAGGCCCUAGGGUCGUAAAAGCUCUUUCAACGGUGAAAGAUAAUGACGGUAGCCGUAGAAGAAAACCCCGGCUAACUCCGUGCCAGCAGCCGCGGUAAUACGGAGGGGUUAGCGUUGUUCGGAAUUACUGGGCGUAAAGCGCGCGUAGGCGGAUUGGAAA
RNAcentral lists this ribosomal RNA (237 nucleotides) under uncultured bacterium. Its description in RNAcentral is "partial 16S ribosomal RNA". It matches the Rfam family "Bacterial small subunit ribosomal RNA", at positions 335 to 586 of the family's 1533-position model. The record is from RNAcentral.